RNAcentral lists this ribosomal RNA (406 nucleotides) under uncultured bacterium. Its description in RNAcentral is "partial 16S ribosomal RNA". It matches the Rfam family "Bacterial small subunit ribosomal RNA", at positions 30 to 526 of the family's 1533-position model. The record is from RNAcentral.
AUUGAACGCUGGCGGCAGGCCUAACACAUGCAAGUCGAGCGAGCGGCGGACGGGUGAGUAAUGUAUGGGGAACUGCCUGAUAGAGGGGGAUAACUACUGGAAACGGUGGCUAAUACCGCAUACUAUCGGAUGUACCCAUAUGGGAUUAGCUAGUAGGUGGGGUAAAGGCUCACCUAGGCGACGAUCCCUAGCUGGUCUGAGAGGAUGACCAGCCACACUGGGACUGAGACACGGCCCAGACUCCUACGGGAGGCAGCAGUGGGGAAUAUUGCACAAUGGGCGCAAGCCUGAUGCAGCCAUGCCGCGUGUGUGAAGAAGGCCUUAGGGUUGUAAAGCACUUUCAGCGGGGAGGCGUUACUCGCAGAAGAAGCACCGGCUAACUCCGUGCCAGCAGCCGCGGUAAUAC